GGUCUUGACAUCCACAGAACUUUCCAGAGAUGGAUUGGUGCCUUCGGGAACUGUGAGACAGGUGCUGCAUGGCUGUCGUCAGCUCGUGUUGUGAAAUGUUGGGUUAAGUCCCGCAACGAGCGCAACCCUUAUCCUUUGUUGCCAGCGGUCCGGCCGGGAACUCAAAGGAGACUGCCAGUGAUAAACUGGAGGAAGGUGGGGAUGACGUCAAGUCAUCAUGGCCCUUACGACCAGGGCUACACACGUGCUACAAUGGCGCAUACAAAGAGAAGCGACCUCGCGAGAGCAAGCGGACCUCAUAAAGUGCGUCGUAGUCCGGAUUGGAGUCUGCAACUCGACUCCAUGAAGUCGGAAUCGCUAGUAAUCGUGGAUCAGCCUGCCAAACCGCAUCAG
This 393-nucleotide ribosomal RNA is filed under the name Escherichia coli. Its description in RNAcentral is "bacterial SSU rRNA". It matches the Rfam family "Bacterial small subunit ribosomal RNA", at positions 977 to 1367 of the family's 1533-position model. Lineage: Bacteria; Pseudomonadati; Pseudomonadota; Gammaproteobacteria; Enterobacterales; Enterobacteriaceae. The record is from RNAcentral.